UACGUAGGGGGCAAGCGUUGUCCGGAUUCAUUGGGCGUAAAGAGCGUGUAGGCGGCCAGGUAGGUCGGUUGUGAAAACUGGAGGCUCAACCUUCAGAGGUCGACCGAAACCAUCUGGCUAGAGUCCGGGAGAGGAGAGUGGAAUUCCUGGUGUAGCGGUGAAAUGCGCAGAUAUCAGGAAGAACACCGAUGGCGAAGGCAGGUCUCUGGGCCACUACUGACGCUGAGAAGCGAAAGCAUGGGGAGCGAACAGG
Molecule: ribosomal RNA, 253 nt
Filed under: uncultured bacterium
Lineage: Bacteria
Description: partial 16S ribosomal RNA
Rfam family: Bacterial small subunit ribosomal RNA
Source: RNAcentral